UCCUUUUGUGCAUCAUCAUCAUCAUGCAUAUCAUCUACAUGACUUUGACAAAAUAAAACCUAUUUAGUUUUCUGUUGUAUGGAUUUAUGAAACAAACCCACCCUCGAGUCUCUUCUUAUUUAACAAAACCCCAAAUCUAAAUGUUUGACAGAGUUAGAAAAUUGUUUUAAGUCCAAUGCAAAGUUUCCAAAAUGUUGACCAUUUUAUCUUUUCUGAAAACAUCUCUCCGUUUCACUUUUCUACUGUAUCUCUCUUUCCUUGCUUUGGACAAAAUCCCACGGUUAAUUUUUUCAAGCGAGGCUGCCUACACUUCCGGCUGAAUUCUCACAUGGACCAUCUUACCAAUCCAGGGAAGAGACUCCUGUAGCCUUCUUCAACACGCGAGGAGCAUGAGCUCACUGUCAACAUCAACCUCUCAACCAUCCCAACCACUCCCCUCUCCCCUCCUGUUUAUCCCCACCGAAGCAGCCAUCAAACCCUAGCCCCUCUCCAUCCUCGUGCCGCCGCCCCCUCCCUUUUCCCUCGACCACGCAAACGAGCGAGGCGAAAAUUUCACAGAAAACACCGAACACCUCCGCCGCAGCAUCACCGUCGCCCCGUCGUCUCCGACCACCUCUCGCCGAACCAAGGCCACCACGAGCUUCUCCUCAUCACGCUGAAGCUCCUCGACACACGCGCGCAACAAAUCGAGUUUGAAAUCGACGACAAGGAUCACUUCUCCAUCUCCGCCGCCGGCAGAAAUCUCGUGUUUCCGGCCGCCUCCGACCUCGUCCGCCACCGACGAGGUGUUCAUCAGCUUUCUGUUCAUCUCCGCCAUGGCCGACGACAGGCCUCAGCGCCGCACGCGCUCGUUCCUGCCGGCCUUCUUCCCGGUAGUCGACCACGUCUUCUCUGCUCUGGUCGCAUCAUUCCCGUUCUCGCAUUUGCUUCUUCCCGGAUAGGAUCGCGAAGUGGUGAUGUGAGAUCCGAC
This is a long non-coding RNA of Lolium rigidum, 970 nucleotides long. RefSeq lists it as uncharacterized. The transcript has 3 exons. Lineage: Eukaryota; Viridiplantae; Streptophyta; Magnoliopsida; Poales; Poaceae. The record is from RefSeq and is a predicted model, not a curated record.